CAGCAGCCACGGGAAAACGGAGGGUGCAAGCGUUAAUCGGAAUUACUGGGCGUAAAGCGUGCGUAGGUGGUGGUUUAAGUCCGUUGUGAAAGCCCUGGGCUCAACCUGGGAAUUGCAGUGGAUACUGGGUCACUAGAGUGUGGUAGAGGAUAGUGGAAUUUCCGGUGUAGCAGUGAAAUGCGUAGAGAUCGGAAGGAACAUCUGUGGCGAAGGCGACUAUCUGGGCCAACACUGACACUGAGGCACGAAAGCGUGGGGAGCAAACAGGAUUAGAUACCCCAGUAGUCCCUGUCUCUUAUAC
RNAcentral lists this ribosomal RNA (301 nucleotides) under uncultured bacterium. RNAcentral's name for it is "partial 16S ribosomal RNA". It matches the Rfam family "Bacterial small subunit ribosomal RNA", at positions 509 to 807 of the family's 1533-position model. The record is from RNAcentral.